GGAGGAGGGUGAAGUUUUGUGAUAGGAAAAUCAAACAAAGGAAUACAGUAAAAAAUCUCACCACUCAUUGCCAGGUGGUGUUUAAGCAAAAUGAGACCCCUCGUCUUCCCAGCUCCGUUCUCUGCAGGGCUGCGUUCUGCAUGCAUCAUGAUGGGAGACGAAAGCUCAAAGAAUGAUGGUUGUUAUUAUUUUCUUUUAACUGAAAGUAGAGGUCUUUUACACAUGGAGAGAUCUGAACCUGGUUUGUUUCUUGCCUUGGGGAGGAAAAAGAACCAAAACCAACGAAAUGGGGAAUGGUUUAAACUGAGACAAGGGAGGUUUAGGUUGGAGAUGAGGAGGAAGUUUUUCCCCCAGAGGGUGGUGACGCACUGAACAGGUUGCCCAAGGAGGCUGUGGAUGCCCCAUCCCUGCAGGCAUUCAAGGCCAGGCUGGAUGUGGCUCUGGGCAGCCUGGGCUGCUGGUUGGCGACCCUGCACAUAGCAGGGGGUUGGAACGGGAUGAGCACUGUGGUCCUUUUCAACCCAGGCCGUUCUAGGAUUCUGUGAUUCUCUCUAAAUUCUGUUUGACUGUGCAAGGGCUGUUGGUGAGGUACGAUCUACGGAGCUUUCUGAUGGUGGAAGCUAGCUAAAUUUCAGUUUCUCCCUGAGUCACUUCUAGGAGACUCCCCCUAUCCUUGCAGCCCGUGGCAGCCCAGAGGUGGGUGUCCAGGGGGAUCAGGCUGCUUCUGUGAUGGGUGCAGUGCAGGCAUGGGGGUGGGUGACCUGUCACACUCCUUCUCCCAUAUAUGUCAUCUGCAAAAGGAACAGACCUGGGUACAUGUGCCAACCCACCAUCUGUCAUGCUUCUUCCCCCUUGGCUCUUUUUAAUUCCAG
This 872-nucleotide long non-coding RNA is filed under the name Gallus gallus (chicken). RNAcentral describes it as "lncRNA (ENSGALG00010020391.1)". Lineage: Eukaryota; Metazoa; Chordata; Aves; Galliformes; Phasianidae. The record is from RNAcentral.